AAUAAAGUAAGCUAAAUAAGCUUUUAGGCCCAUACCCUAAAAAUGUCGGUUAAAAACCCCUCUUUUAUUAA
This 71-nucleotide transfer RNA is filed under the name Desmognathus wrighti (pygmy salamander). RNAcentral's name for it is "tRNA-Met". The record is from RNAcentral. Lineage: Eukaryota; Metazoa; Chordata; Amphibia; Caudata; Plethodontidae.